AUUGGAGGAAGAAAACGACAAAUAUAACUUGUUUAAAAAUAACGACGUAAUUGUUACCGUUUACACUGUUGGAAUACCCGGUGGUUAAAACACAGUAAUACGCGUUGUUGCACAGUAGCACACGGUAUUGCACCAAUUAUUGACUCUUACGUAAGAAGGCACUACUCAAUAAUGGUUACAGUAAUUACUGUUCAGUAUUUUAUUUUAUUGAUUCAAUAAUUG
RNAcentral lists this long non-coding RNA (222 nucleotides) under Panax ginseng (ginseng). Its description in RNAcentral is "long non-coding RNA (PGIN_LNC002451)". The record is from RNAcentral. Lineage: Eukaryota; Viridiplantae; Streptophyta; Magnoliopsida; Apiales; Araliaceae.